RNAcentral lists this unclassified non-coding RNA (1167 nucleotides) under Hevea brasiliensis (rubber tree). The record is from RNAcentral. Lineage: Eukaryota; Viridiplantae; Streptophyta; Magnoliopsida; Malpighiales; Euphorbiaceae.
UAUCUUCAAUUGGCACCACUCCAAAUUACCUAUUAUGUCAGAUCAAAUUACUAGUAGACUAGAAGGAUCAUGUAGCUUGGCUAUUGUUGAUUGAGUGACAGCCGUUGAGGAUGUUAAUUGCAGAAUCGUGACUUAAUUUUAUAACCCUCUUAUCCCUCUUAUCCUACAUGUUUAUAUACAGAGCUUGAUGUGGAUAGACAAAACCUUGGCUUGUCUCCCCUCGCCCAGUGAGUUUUUAGGGACCUAUUCUUCCAACGCAUUUAUCCAAGUGUGUGUCAUUCAAGUGUGCAUUUGCCUAUAUAUCAUGAAUGUUUGCCUGGAGGUGUUAUAUCUGGGCAUGAGUAGGUGACUAGGUGCAUUAGUGGGCUGAUAUGUUUUGAGUUGAAGUCUUGCUAAAUGUGAAUUGAGUAAUGAGAUUAUUCUCACAAUGUACAAGCAAGCUGUUCUGUUAUAGGUCAACCUGAAAUAAGAAUGCAAUGGCUGGAUUUGUCCGUAUUCAUCAAACCAUGAAAUAUUAUCAAAUGAGUAGCAUAUUUUGAUGUGAGAUUUCUUCAAUUCCCAGGCAAACUGAAUGGUGCUGCUAUCCAGUUCUCAUUUUUCUUCAACUUCCCUUUUCAAUGGGAGACCAGAUAUGACACGAAUAUUGAUUUACUCUCUCUUUUUUUUGUCCCCCUCUAAAACAUCACAUUUGCUUUCUGUUGUGUGGCUAAUGUAUGCUUAUUUUGUCCUGUCAACUGGCUUUCAGCAAAUCGAGCUGUGGAAGUCAAUGAGAUGUGGCGAAUACGGCAAAAAGAGCUCGAGCUAGAUGAUAGGCUUAAAGGGAGAUCAAGACAUGAGAAUAGCAGCAGCACAAGUAAGAGGCAUGCUACUGUUGAUGACAACACUGGUGCAUCAUGCUCCUCAAGUAAAAGAAUAUCUGGGAACUGCUAUUCCAAACAAGAUGAAGGUUUAAGGGAUGAUGAGGUUGAGGAAUUUUUGCAUUUGAGGGUCAAGCGGGGUCGAGGUGCAGUGGGUUCAAGGAUGGAUGAAACAGGUCCUUAUCUUUUGCCUUGUACGGAAUCCAAGGAAAAGCCAUCCGCCAGCCUGGACUUGAGGGAACAUCGUGUUGUUCUGGGUCCAGGGAAACCCUCAUCAGUAAAGUCUUAUGAAUCUUCUGAGGAGGAGCUU